GUCCAGAAACGUGCCUAUUUUCCUCCAGCGAGAUCUCCUGUUUGACCUGGUGGAACUCCUUGGCCAUCCUACAGUGGUCCCUGUAAACCUGGACUGACUCUCUCAGAGAGGAGCAGGGAGACACCGGCUAGAAGGGAACAGAUAAGAUCAUUUUAUACAGGGAGGCACCGACUACAGCAGUUUAUACAAGGAGGCACCGGCUACAGCAGUUUAUACAGGGAGGCACCGGCUACAGCAGUUUAUACAGGGAGGCACCGGCUACAGCAGUUUAUACAGGGAGGCACCGGCUACAGCAGUUUAUACAGGGAGGCACCGGCUACAGCAGUUUAUACAGGGAGGCACCGACUACAGCAGUUUAUACAGGGAGGCACCGGCUACUGCAGUUUAUACAGGGAGGCACCGGCUACCGCAGUUUAUACAGGGAGGCACCGGCUACAGCAGUUUAUACAGGGAGGCACCGGCUACAGCAGUUUAUACAGGGAGGCACCGGCUACAGCAGUUUAUACAGGGAGGCACCGACUACAGCAGUUUAUACAGGGAGGCACCGGCUACAGCAGUUUAUACAGGGAGGCACCGACUACAGCAGUUUAUACAGGGAGGCACCGGCUACAGCAGUUUAUACAGGGAGGCACCGGCUACAGCAGUUUAUACAGGGAGGCACCGACUACAGCAGUUUAUACAUGGAGGCACCGGCUACAGCAGUUUAUACAGGGAGGCACCGGCUACAGCAGUUUAUACAUGGAGGCACCGGCUACAGCAGUUUAUACAGGGAGGCACCGGCUACAGCAGUUUAUACAGGGAGGCACCGACUACAGCAGUUUAUACAGGGAGGCACCGGCUACAGCAGUUUAUACAGGGAGGCACCGGCUACAGCAGUUUAUACAGGGAGGCACCGACUACAGCAGUUUAUACAGGGAGGCACCGGCUACGGCAGUUUAUACAGGGAGGCACCGGCUACGGCAGUUUAUACAUGGAGGCACCGGCUACGGCAGUUUAUACAGGGAGGCACCGGCUACAGCAGUUUAUACAGGGAGGCACCGGCUACAGCAGUUUAUACAGGGAGGCACCGGCUACAGCAGUUUUCCAACUCCAGUCCCCCCAACAGCCCAACUCCAGUCCUCCAGUACCCCCCAACAGCCCAACUCCUGUCCUCCAGUACCCCCAACAGCCCAACUCCAGUACCACCCAACAGCCCAUCUCCAGUCCCCCCAACAGCCCAACUCCUGUCCUCCAGUACCCCCAACAGCCCAUCCUGUCCUCCAGUCCCCCCAACAGCCCAUCUCCAGUCCCCCCAACAGCCCAACUCCUGUCCUCCAGUACCCCCAACAGCCCAUCCUGUCCUCCAGUCCCCCCAACAGCCCAUCUCCAGUACCCCCAACAGCCCAUCCAGUCCUCCAGUACCCCC
Molecule: long non-coding RNA, 1405 nt
Filed under: Salmo salar (Atlantic salmon)
Lineage: Eukaryota; Metazoa; Chordata; Actinopteri; Salmoniformes; Salmonidae
Description: lncRNA (ENSSSAG00000107197.1)
Source: RNAcentral